CCUACGGGAGGCAGCAGUGGGGAAUAUUGCGCAAUGGGGGAAACCCUGACGCAGCAACGCCGCGUGAGUGAGGAAGUAUCUCGGGAUGUAAAGCUCUAUCAGCGGGGAAGAAAGAGGACGGUACCAGACGAAGAAGCCCCGGCUAACUACGUGCCAGCAGCCGCGGUAAGACGGAGGGGGCGAGCGUUAUCCGGAUUUACUGGGUGUAACGGGAGCGGAGACGGCGUCGCAAGUCGGAAGGGAAAGCCCGUGGCUCAACCGCGGAACCGCUUUGGAAACUGUGCAGCUAGAGUGCAGGAGAGGUCAGUGGAAUUCCUCGUGUAGCGGUGUAAUGCGUAGAUAUUAGGCGGAACACCAGUGGCGAAGGCGGCUUACUGGACUGUAACUGACGUUGAGGCUCGAAAGCGUGGGGAGCAAACAGGAUUAGCUACCCGGGUAGUC
RNAcentral lists this ribosomal RNA (441 nucleotides) under uncultured bacterium. RNAcentral's name for it is "partial 16S ribosomal RNA". It matches the Rfam family "Bacterial small subunit ribosomal RNA", at positions 338 to 795 of the family's 1533-position model. The record is from RNAcentral.